ACUAAACAGCUAGCUCAACCAUGAAAAUUGAAUUAACAACAUUAACCAACCUAACACAAAAUAACUACAUCAACCAAACCAUUCUACCACCCCAGUAUGGGCGACAGAAAAGGACUAACGAAGCCAUAGAUGAAGUACCGCAAGGGAAAACUGAAAGAGAGAUGAAAUAGCGCACUAAAGUAAAUAAAAGCAGAGACCCACCCUCGUACCUUUUGCAUCAUGAUCUAGCCAGUAAUAUCAAGCAAGGAGCCCCCUAGUUUGAACCCCCGAAACCAGACGAGCUACUCCGGGACAGCCUAACAUAGGGCCAACCCGUCUCUGUGGCAAAAGAGUGGGAAGAUCCCCGAGUAGAGGUGAAAGACCUACCGAGUCAGGUUAUAGCUGGUUGCCCAGGAAAUGAAUAAAAGUUCAGCUCCGUCAAGCCCCCACCCCAGUAAAAUCAAGGUAAAAGGACAUAUACGGAAGUUAGUUAAAGGAGGUACAGCUCCCUUAACAAAGGACACAACCUUCACAGGAGGCUAAAGAAUACAUUAAGCCAAGGCCACAGGUUUCAGUGGGCCUAAGAGCAGCCACCUGGACAGAAAGCGUUAAAGCUCAAACCGAAUCAAGCCCAUUAUACUAUUAAAUACCUCUAAUGCCCCUAACCAGUACUGAGCCUCUCCAUGCCCACAUGGAAAAGACCAUGCUAGAACGAGUAAUAAGAAGAAAGAACUUCUCCCCGCACACGUGUACGUCGAACCGGACUAUCCACCGACAAUUAACGAACCCAAUAACAGAGGUCCAUGCACCACCGCCACAUAAAGCCAAGAAAACCACGCAAAUCCAAUCGUUAACCCCACACAGGAGUGCAAACAAGGAAAGACUUAAAGAAUAAAAAGGAACUCGGCAAACCCAGACCCCGCCUGUUUACCAAAAACAUCGCCUCCUGCCCAAAUUAUCCCAUAGGAGGUCCCGCCUGCCCUGUGACCAAAAGUUUAACGGCCGCGGUAUCCUAACCGUGCAAAGGUAGCGCAAUCAAUUGUCUUUUAAAUGGAGACCUGUAUGAAUGGCAUAACGAGGGUCCAACUGUCUCUUUUUUCUAGUCAAUGAAACUGAUCUGCCCGUGCAGAAGCGGGCAUAAACACACAAGACGAGAAGACCCUAUGGAGCUUUAGACGCUCACCAACCACCAAAAGCAGGUUCACCAACUUUGAACCUCCAAACAAAGUGAAACUGGCACAAACGUCUUCGGUUGGGGCGACCACGGAGGAAAGCAAAGCCUCCGAGAGGAAUUAGGAAAUAACCUUAAACCAAGAGCCACAGCUCUAGGUCACAAAACAUUUGACCGAAAUGAUCCGGCUCCUUGCCGAUCAACGAACCGAGUUACCCUAGGGAUAACAGCGCAAUCCUCUCCCAGAGUCCAUAUCGACGAGAGGGUUUACGACCUCGAUGUUGGAUCAGGACAUCCUAUUGGUGCAGCCGCUAUUAAGGGUUCGUUUGUUCAACGAUUAAAGUCCUACGUGAUCUGAGUUCAGACCGGAGUAAUCCAGGUCAGUUUCUAUCUGUGACGCUACCCUUCCUAGUACGAAAGGACCGGAAUGAUGAGGCCCAUACCCCAGGCACGCCUCCCUCCAAUCCAAUGAAUACAACUAAAAUGGAAAAAGGAGAGCAACCCCACUUACCCAAGAUAAGGGUU
This 1675-nucleotide ribosomal RNA is filed under the name Gudusia chapra (Indian river shad). RNAcentral's name for it is "16S rRNA". The stretch from base 95 to 1595 matches the Rfam family "Bacterial large subunit ribosomal RNA". Lineage: Eukaryota; Metazoa; Chordata; Actinopteri; Clupeiformes; Clupeidae. The record is from RNAcentral.